This 478-nucleotide ribosomal RNA is filed under the name uncultured bacterium. Its description in RNAcentral is "partial 16S ribosomal RNA". It matches the Rfam family "Bacterial small subunit ribosomal RNA", at positions 28 to 523 of the family's 1533-position model. The record is from RNAcentral.
GACGAACGCUGGCGGCGUGCUUAACACAUGCAAGUCGAACGGUAAGGCCCUUCGGGGUACACGAGUGGCGAACGGGUGAGUAACACGUGGGUGAUCUGCCCUGCACUUCGGGAUAAGCCUGGGAAACUGGGUCUAAUACCGGAUAGGACCACUGCCUGCAUGGGUGGUGGUGGAAAGCUUUUGCGGUGUGGGAUGGGCCCGCGGCCUAUCAGCUUGUUGGUGGGGUGAUGGCCUACCAAGGCGACGACGGGUAGCCGGCCUGAGAGGGUGACCGGCCACACUGGGACUGGGAUACGGCCCAGACUCCUACGGGAGGCAGCAGUGGGGAAGAUUGCACAAUGGGCGCAAGCCUGAUGCAGCGACGCCGCGUGAGGGAUGACGGCCUUCGGGUUGUAAACCUCUUUCAGCACCGACGAAGCGCAAGUGACGGUAGGUGCAGAAGAAGGACCGGCCAACUACGUGCCAGCAGCCGCCGUAA